RNAcentral lists this ribosomal RNA (543 nucleotides) under Triticum aestivum (bread wheat). Its description in RNAcentral is "partial small subunit ribosomal RNA". Lineage: Eukaryota; Viridiplantae; Streptophyta; Magnoliopsida; Poales; Poaceae. The record is from RNAcentral.
AUGAGCAAGAGGCGCGGGGCGACGGAGAGCGCCGGGAACGACCCGGCCGGCGCGCCGGUGCGCCUCCCGGGGUCGCCGCGGCGCGGCGCGAGCCGGGGCGGCGUGUUCGAGUGCAGGACGUGCGGCAGGCGGUUCCCGACGUACCAGGCGCUGGGCGGGCACCGGGCCAGCCACGGGCGACAUCUCCCCAGCGCCAGCGGGCUGCGCGACGGCGACGCCCUCGGGCUCCGGCUGCUGGAGCCACGCGGUGGAGAGGCGAGGCCGAGGACGCAUGGGUGCCCCGUCUGCGGCGUGGAGUUCGCUGUCGGGCAGGCGCUCGGCGGGCACAUGAAGCGGCACCGUGACAUGGCCGACGCCGACGCCGACGCGAACGCGCACGGCACCAUGGCGGCAACGUCCGUGAAGGAUGACGGCGCUGGAGCCGGCUGCACGGCCGAGAUCUGCCUGGACUUGAACCUGGCGCAGGCGGAGAACUGCGCAAAGUGCAGGAAUGCUAGGGCCAGCGGCGAAGCCCAGAGACCGCUACUAGGGUGGAAUCCGUGA